UACGUAGGUGACGAGCGUUAUCCGGAAUUAUUGGGCGUAAAGGGCGCGUAGGCGGUCGUGUGCGUCGAGGGUGAAAUCCCCGGGCUUAACCCGGGAGCUGCCUUCGAUACGGCACGGCUUGAGUCCGGGAGAGGGGAGCAGAAUUCCCAGUGUAGCGGUGAAAUGCGUAGAUAUUGGGAGGAAUACCGGUGGCGAAGGCGGCUCCCUGGACCGGUACUGACGCUGAGGCGCGAAAGCGUGGGUAGCAAACAGG
Molecule: ribosomal RNA, 253 nt
Filed under: uncultured bacterium
Lineage: Bacteria
Description: partial 16S ribosomal RNA
Rfam family: Bacterial small subunit ribosomal RNA
Source: RNAcentral